UAUCAAUAAGCGGAGCAAAAGGGUCCCUGCAUAGCACUAAGCUGGAACAUAGAGAGGAUCCCUGCCUUGCAUUUGGCCUAUUCGAUCUAUGUUCCUUGCGAACAGGACGUCACAGAGGGUGAGAAUCCCGUGCGAUGAGGUGUCCAUUUCUAUGUAAGAUGUUUUCGAAGAGUCGAGUUGUUUGGGAAUGCAGCUCUAAGUGGGUGGUAAAUUCCAUCUAAAGCUAAAUAUUGGCGAGAGACCGAUAGCGAACAAGUACAGUGAUGGAAAGAUGAAAAGAACUUUGAAAAGAGAGUGAAAAAGUACGUGAAAUUGUUGAAAGGGAAGGGUAUUANAUCAGACUUGGUAUUUAGUUAUCAUUACUCCUUGUGGGUGGUGCUCUAACUUUUUACUGGGCCAGCAUCAGUUUUGGUGGCAGGGUAAUGACAUUUGAAUGUGCCUCCUCCCACUGAUAUAGCUUUUGUUGAUACUGCCUAUCGAAACUGAGGUCUGGGGCCUAUGCCCUCUGAACCUGGCGGGCUGCCCCUAUACC
This 532-nucleotide ribosomal RNA is filed under the name Ogataea piceae. RNAcentral's name for it is "eukaryotic LSU rRNA". It matches the Rfam family "Eukaryotic large subunit ribosomal RNA", at positions 41 to 646 of the family's 3401-position model. The record is from RNAcentral. Lineage: Eukaryota; Fungi; Ascomycota; Pichiomycetes; Pichiales; Pichiaceae.